UAGGGAAUUUUCGGCAAUGGACGAAAGUCUGACCGAGCAAUGCCGCGUGAACGAUGAAGGUCUUCGGAUUGUAAAGUUCUGUUGUUAGGGAAGAAUAGUAUAACUAGGAAAUGAGUUAUAUUUGACGGUACCUUACUAGAAAGCUCCGGCUAACUAUGUGCCAGCAGCCGCGGUAAUACAUAGGGAGCAAGCGUUAUCCGGAAUUAUUGGGCGUAAAGAGUGCGUAGGUGGUUUAUUAAGUCUGGUGUGAAAUUUCACGGCUUAACUGUGAAGGGUCAUUGGAAACUGGUAAACUUGAGUACGGUAGAGGUGAGUGGAAUUCCAAGUGGAGCGGUGGAAUGCGUAGAUAUUUGGAGGAACACCAAUGGCGAAGGCAGCUCACUGGGCCGGAACUGACACUGAUGCACGAAAGCGUGGGGAGCAAACAGG
Molecule: ribosomal RNA, 429 nt
Filed under: uncultured bacterium
Lineage: Bacteria
Description: bacterial SSU rRNA
Rfam family: Bacterial small subunit ribosomal RNA
Source: RNAcentral